GACUCAGCCUGGUCUCGCGAAUGCGCACUAGGACUUAAUUUGAUCCUGGCUCAGGACCGAAGCGNUUAAGCGUGCCUAAUACAUGCAAGUCGAGCGAACAGAGAAGGAGCUUGCUCCUUUGACGUUAGCGGCGGACGGGUGAGUAACACGUGGGCAACCUACCUUAUAGUUUGGGAUAACUCCGGGAAACCGGGGCUAAUACCGAAUAAUCUAUUUUACUUCAUGGUGAAAUACUGAAAGACGGUUUCGGCUGUCGCUAUAAGAUGGGCCCGCGGCGCAUCAGCUAGUUGGUGAGGUAACGGCUCACCAAGGCGACGAUGCGUAGCCGACCUGAGAGGGUGAUCGGCCACACUGGGACUGAGAACAACGGGCCCAGANUCCCUACCGGGAAAGCAAGCCAGUAAGGGAAAUCUUUUCCCAACCCAAA
RNAcentral lists this ribosomal RNA (427 nucleotides) under uncultured bacterium. Its description in RNAcentral is "bacterial SSU rRNA". It matches the Rfam family "Bacterial small subunit ribosomal RNA", at positions 1 to 380 of the family's 1533-position model. The record is from RNAcentral.